CCCUGGCAGACCACAGUAACGGACAACACUGCUCCACUCCCUGCGGCGGACCCUACGCAACUCCAUUACUCCCCGACAGGCCGUAUUAACGGCCACAAUCCUGCUCCACUCCCUGCGGCGGAUCCUGUGCGAUCCCACCACUCCAUGAUGAGUCACGACAGCGAACGUCGCUCCACUCCCCGUAACUGACUCCACAUGGCACACCCCGGUGAUAGCCACGGGUCCACUCCACUAUUCUUCGCAGCAAACUCCGUCUGACCCUGG
This 264-nucleotide long non-coding RNA is filed under the name Elaeis guineensis (African oil palm). Its description in RNAcentral is "long non-coding RNA (EGUI_LNC037662)". Lineage: Eukaryota; Viridiplantae; Streptophyta; Magnoliopsida; Arecales; Arecaceae. The record is from RNAcentral.